AGCAGACGAGGAGCGACCGGACCGUGGCGUCGCAGCGGCGGUGGCGUCCCUGAAAUAUCAAGAACGACCUCGCUGCACCAAACGUUUUUCUGCCUGCAGUCGUUCACCUGAGCCUCGUCUGAAAGGCCUGCUGGGAAAUCACGCCGACCUUGUGGGAGUAACGCUCGCCGAGGGCUGCGGAGAAACUCAGGAAAACUCAUUUCUGUCAUCAGGAGGACACCGACGGAAAGUACAAAGACACAGAGAUCAGAGAGGCCCCAUACCACUUUUGUGCUGACCUUAAAAAGAGAGGCGCACUGUGCAAACAUCUGGUCCAUCAGCUGGAUCCUAUGCAUCAGCGGGCACAGGGACACACUGGGACAGCAUGAGGAGGACAGUCCUGAGGAAGAAAACGGCGCUGGUUGAUCCUCUUCUCCAUCAGCAAUGCCAGGAGCAAAAAAGAGGAGAAGAAGGUGGAGGUGGCAGGAAACUAAGAGAAGAGGAGUAAAAAGGCAAGUAAAUCUCGAAAGAAAGAGUUACUGUUUUCAGGCUGGUUGCUAAUUAUUCAUUUUGUAUUUGACAAAAGCAUGAAAGAAACAGACGAAUACAAGGCACACAACAAGAAUGAGCAUUUCUGAGCUUUCCGUUACAUUUGGAAAGCUGAACUCAGGAAUCAAUGAAUAAUAAAAUAUUUAGCUCCAUUAGCACUAAAUGUACUUUUCCUGAUAAAUUGUAAAGCACCAAUUUACUUUACUGUUUAGUAAACUUUUGUGUCUUUGACACAUGGUUGAAUUUAGCGCUUUAGCAUUAGCUUAAUACUCUGUUGGAAUAGGGCAUUAUUUGUUCACAUUAGCAAUGCUAGCUGCUGUGUUAGCACAGUUAGACCAGCGUUGUUUCUAAUCAAUAAAACAUCCUGUGUCCAAUUUACAAAUAUAUUCCAGUCAUCAUCCAUAUUUGCACUGGUGGACGCUGCUAACUAGAAGUUAGAGGACUAAUCGUAAACAUUAGUUCUGCUAAUGCUAGCGUGCUAUAGUAACAUAUUAUUCAGCAGAAGCUAAUGAUAAAGCGCUAAAUUCAACCAUCUGUCAAAGACUCAAAAGUUUACAAAACAAAAAGUAAAUAAGUGCUUUAGGAUUCAUCAGGAAAAGUUAACUUAAGUGUGACAAACAUUUUCAAAGUUAGCAAAAUGCUUAAGCAUUAAGUGAAAAAUUAGCUCCUGUGUUAGCGCAUUAGCGGGUUAGCAGAAGUGUUUUAAAGAGUAGCUUGGCUACAGUAUAUUUUAUUGUCACAAAAUGCUUUUAAAAGUAAAUAACUGCUUUGAAAACAGUGGAAAUGUUCCAGUAUUUGUAGGUGUAAUGGCGAGUAAAACAUUUUCCGUUUAAUUUUCUGGGUCAAAGGAGUUAAACACACCAGAUGCAAACACUUCAGAUAAAGUUGGUCGUCUCCACAUUUCCCUGUUUUUCAUUUGGUUUUCCUGCAAGGUUAGCGCCGUUGGCACUGGAACGCGGGUGUAUCCUCAUCCACCUCCGAUGUCAGGAUUUUCUGGGGAGGUGUCACUCAGGCGGUUCCUGAAACACCUUGGUGAGCCAAUUACACCGCGGCUGUCAGAGCCAAUAGCAAGCGGCGCCUCACACUCCGACACCCACAGCUUGGCUGGAGUGAAACAAAACAUGAAAACGGAAUCCGGCUCUGGCGACCUUUCACCCCGCAACAUGCAAUUUUCAUAAGAGUAAUUAGCAUAAUGUCCCGGCUCCUGCAGAUCGCCUCUGACUUGUUUUGACCUUAAAGAUUUUUGCAUUUUGAGAUUAAUUUAGUAAACAGAAGUGAUUUAAUGGCUUUGUAAGUUGGAUUAAUAACACAUGUUUAAUGAUUCUGGUAUGAUUUAUUUCAUUUUGAGCAAAAAUUUAGAAAUUUAGGGGCUCAAAAGUUAGCAAUAGCAUAGCAUCUGUUUAUUUGUAUUUCAUAUUUUUCCAAACAAAAUGUAUAAAUCAGAUAAAA
Long non-coding RNA from Xiphophorus couchianus (Monterrey platyfish), 1977 nucleotides. RefSeq lists it as uncharacterized. Lineage: Eukaryota; Metazoa; Chordata; Actinopteri; Cyprinodontiformes; Poeciliidae. The transcript is spliced from 4 exons. The record is from RefSeq and is a predicted model, not a curated record.